GACAGAGGUGGCAAGCGUUGUUCGGAUUCAUUGGGUGUAAAGGGCGUGUAGGCGGCCAACUAAGUCCGACGUGAAAUCCCCAGGCUUAACCUGGGAACUGCGUCGGAUACUGGAUGGCUUGAAUCCGGGAGAGGGAUGCAGAAUUCCAGGUGUAGCGGUGAAAUGCGUAGAUAUCUGGAGGAAUACCGGUGGCGAAGGCGGCAUCCUGGACCGGCAUUGACGCUGAAGCGCGAAAGCUAGGGGAGCAAACGGG
RNAcentral lists this ribosomal RNA (253 nucleotides) under uncultured bacterium. RNAcentral's name for it is "partial 16S ribosomal RNA". It matches the Rfam family "Bacterial small subunit ribosomal RNA", at positions 524 to 776 of the family's 1533-position model. The record is from RNAcentral.